RNAcentral lists this small nucleolar RNA (95 nucleotides) under Aureobasidium namibiae CBS 147.97. Its description in RNAcentral is "A. fumigatus snoRNA Afu_455". It matches the Rfam family "A. fumigatus snoRNA Afu_455". The record is from Rfam by way of RNAcentral. Lineage: Eukaryota; Fungi; Ascomycota; Dothideomycetes; Dothideales; Saccotheciaceae. RNAcentral also lists the same sequence under 3 other names.
UUGGGUGAUGAUAUACCGACUCACGGAAAGGCAUUCCUCGACCUGAAUAUACAAUGUCGAAUCUGUCUAAAAUCAAGUUUCAGCCUUGUCUGACU